GACGAACGCUGGCGGCGUGCUUAACACAUGCAAGUCGAACGGUGAAGCGCCUUCCUUUUUGGUGGGUGUGGAUGAGUGGCGAACGGGUGAGUAACACGUGAGUAACCUGCCCCCUUCUUCUGGAUAACCGCAUGAAAGUGUGGCUAAUACGGGAUAUUCUGGGUCUGUCGCAUGAUGGGUCUGGGAAAGAUAUUGUUUCGGUGGGGGAUGGGCUCGCGGCCUAUCAGCUUGUUGGUGGGGUGAUGGCCUACCAAGGCGGUGACGGGUAGCCGGCCUGAGAGGGUGGACGGUCACACUGGGACUGAGACACGGACACGACUCCUACGGGAGGCAGCAGUGGGGAAUAUUGCACGAUGGGCGCAAGCCUGAUGCAGCGACGCCGCGUGAGGGAUGGAGGCCUUCGGGUUGUGAACCUCUUUCGCCAGUGAAGCAGGCCUGCCUCGUUUGUGGGUGGGUUGACGGUAGCUGGAUAAGAAGCGCCGGCUAACUACGUG
This 494-nucleotide ribosomal RNA is filed under the name uncultured bacterium. RNAcentral's name for it is "partial 16S ribosomal RNA". It matches the Rfam family "Bacterial small subunit ribosomal RNA", at positions 28 to 507 of the family's 1533-position model. The record is from RNAcentral.